CUCCUUUGAAAGACUUGAUGCUUUUUGGUAACGUCCACAAGUUUUGCAUCUAAAAUAUUAAAAUGGAGAAAAUAAACAUCACAGCAGAGACAGAAGUUUCUUCUGAUAAAUUAUCUUGUAAUGAACCAGCUAAUCCCAAGUGUAAUGAAUGUGGAAAGAUGCUUAAUCGGGAAAUCACAAAUCUCCUUUCACUGGAUGAGGCACAACAGGAACUGAAGGUCAAAUUGGAAAAAAAGGACCUAAUGUUGGAGCUAAAGGAAGAGGAAAUCUCUUACCUUUCAUUUGUACUGGAUGAGAUGGAAAAAGAAAUAGACAUGAAAAAUAGCCAGUGGGAGGACAGCUUUGAACCUAAACUGGAGGAGCUACGUGAGAAGGUCCAGGCUCAGAAGAAGCAGUUGGAUGAAGAAAAGGCUGCUUUGUUGGACAUUACUAACGAGCUUCAGAACAAAGAACAAGUGUUCUUAAAGCAGAAAGAUGAACAACAAAUAACCAUUUCACAUUUGGAGGCCACUCUGAAAAUGAAGGAGGAUGACCUAAAAAGCCGCACAGACCAAUGUAACCAACUGGUGGAGAAUGAAAAAGCUGUGAAAGCAAUCACAGAAAAGGAAGCUCUCUGCAAUAAUGAGAACCAGUCGACACAAACGCAGGUCCAACUACAGACUGCCCUGGAUGAAGUACAGAAAAAACUUGUGGAAAUGGAAGAGGAGCGGUCCAACCGCAUCAAGACUAUGUCCAUCAUGAAGGCCACGCUCACUGAAACACAGGAAGCCUUGAACAAAGUGCAAGCCACAAUUCAGGAGCAGAAGCAGGAGAAGGAGCAAAAGAGGGAGAAGGAGAAGAGGCAGAAGCAGGGGAAGGAGGAAGAGAAGGAGAAGAGGCAGAAGCAGGGGAAGGAGGAAGCAAAGGAGAAGGAGGAGAAGAAGGAGAAGGAGAAAAAGAAGGAGAAGAGGCAGAAGAAGGGGAAGGAGGAAGUGAAGGAGAAGAAGGAGAAGGAGGAGAAGAAGGAGAAGAGGCAUAAGAAAGACAAGGAGUAAAAGAAGGAGAAGGCAGCUUCUAAGGACAACGCUGUAACAAAAUGGUUCAAAAACCUGUUUAGAAUUAAAAGAAGAUGAGGAUGGUGCUGCAGAUGGAUGAUGUGAACAGUAACUGGUGUAACAACGUGACAGUGAUCCUUCAGCACUGCUCUCCUCAGAACAACCAGAAUAUCGGCGCAUGUUUGUGUCAAACUUACGUGUCCUGAUGUCAUUCCAUUCAUCUGAAUUUGGACCGAGGACCUCCUGUGUGUCACUGAAGGGAUUUAAAUAAACAAUUUAAAUCUGAAUUGCAUUAUUUUGUUUAAAUAUCCUAUUCC
This 1351-nucleotide long non-coding RNA is filed under the name Gouania willdenowi (blunt-snouted clingfish). RNAcentral's name for it is "lncRNA (ENSGWIG00000015256.1)". Lineage: Eukaryota; Metazoa; Chordata; Actinopteri; Blenniiformes; Gobiesocidae. The record is from RNAcentral.